Molecule: ribosomal RNA, 255 nt
Filed under: uncultured bacterium
Lineage: Bacteria
Description: partial 16S ribosomal RNA
Rfam family: Bacterial small subunit ribosomal RNA
Source: RNAcentral
UACGUAGGAGGCGAGCGUUGUCCGGAAUUACUGGGCGUAAAGCGCGCGUAGGCGGCGCGGUACGACCUGUGUGAAAGCCCCCGGCUCAACUGGGGAGGGUCGCAGGUAACGGCCGUGCUUCUGAGUGCAGGAGAGGGACGUGGAACUCCGGGAGUAGCGGUGAAAUGCGUAGAGACCCGGAGGAACACCAGUGGCGAAGGCGGCGUCCUGGCCUGCGACUGACGCUGUGGCGCGAAAGCUAGGGGAGCGAACGGG